AUGAUGAUAUGAUGACUUUUUCAGCAGUUUGCUCCAGGAGUUCUGAACCUUAUCGUGCUACAUAUCUAUUCAGAAUGAAGAUAUCAUCUGCACCUGUUUUUAAAGAGCUCUCAGCGAAAAGAUUCAAGGGAAAGCAUCUUCCUCUUCUUCCUCACCCAGCAAGCUGGUCAAGAAGGGGAUGAGCACUUUCACCUUCAUAGAUGAUUGCCUAAGACUUUGGUUGAAAAGAAGUCCUAAUCCACAGGUGGCCAUUUAUACGGCUGAAAUGAGAGCAAGGGAGAUUAAGAGACUGCCUUUGUAGAAAAUGACAAUUCACUACAUUUACUUCUGCCUUGAGAUGCAGUGAUGACACCACCAUCAUCAAAUCAACAUUUUUACAAUAAUAUAACAGCAUUGUGCCAGUGUUUAUUUAAGUAAUGAAUCGACCACUGUUACCACUGCACAGCCACCAGUCUGAAGGACGUACUGCUGAGCACCUCCAAAAUCCAUCACCAUUGCCACCUCUAGCUCUAUCACCACUUUUUCAGCACUCCAGCUCCACAGAAACCUGAAAAGCCCAGUUAGCUGAAAUCAAUGAAAAUAAAUGUGAUCAAGGGAACAAUGCCUCUACAAGAGACAAGAGCCACGGGGGUGCAGUGGUUAGAGUGCAGUACUGCAAGUACUUCUUCUACAGAUAUGUGCUUCUGCUGAUCACCAGCUGCUGGUUGCAGAUUGAAUCUCACCAGGCUCAAGGUUGGCUCAGCCUUCCAUCCUUCCGAGGUUUGGGUGAUCUGGUCCAAACUGGUAGCAUUUCACCCCUGGAUUGAACUCUCAACCUCCCAAGUGGGGGGUGAGCGUCUUGACCUCUAAGUCACUUCGCUGCUCAUAUGUAGUAACCUUCUAUAAUACAGCUUCAAACAAAAUGGCAAAAUUCUAAAUACUGUCAUGGAGACCCACUAAAUGAACCAGGAUUGAAUAAUUUGUAAAUUAUCAAGCUAAAGAAAACAAUCUCUGGGAACUCUGGAUUUGUGGUCCUAAUAUACCCCUUGAAGAAUCAGGUUUGACAAGAUAUUUUCUAAAAGUCCAUACACAUAAGUAGAACAAGAAUAGUUGUGGAUGACCUUGGAUGCCAAUAUAUAGAGACAAAGAGAAAAAUGAGAAGAAAUCAAGUUCUGGGAUACUAUUUAAAGGGAUUAAAGAUCAAGAACAUUAAAAGCAAAGUGAGGAGACAACUGAAUGUAACAAAUGCAUUCCAAAGUUAUGAUCAGUGGUUCCUCAGCUCUUCUGAUGGUGUGCCCAUUGCUGAUCUAAUGGAAUCUACAUUGCUGAUGUAAUGGAAUCUUGCUAAUGCUCAUCCUCAAUUUUUCUUUCCUGCUACUUUCCUCAAUGUUAAUCUGUAGAUUUGUCCAGGGAAUUACAGUUAGCAAAUCACAAUUUGGUUACAACUUUCUGAGGUCUUUGAUGGCCAGCCCCAAGUUCUGAAGAAGCUGUUUACAGCCCUGGGGGUCUCUGAUUGUGCACCUCCGCUUUAGAUCAGUGGAUAAACCUGGAAGUAGGAGAUGUAGGGGAUCAGCUAUUUGAACAUAAAUCAUGGUUAUUCUCUUGUGGCUUGCAGCAUGGGACAAAUUAUCCUGAAGAUCUUUUGUAGGCAUCAUGCCGGACCGGUGUCGAAUUAUGCAUGUCUUCUCUCCAAUUAUGAACAAAAUAUGCUCUUCCACAGAACAUUCUGUUCCAGGCAUUCAAGAUGCAUUUUGCUUCUUGGGUAUUCCCUUGUUCCCUUUUUAGGGGAUUUUCUUUGAAAAUAGAAGGACAAGUUUGACUGAACUUUUUAUAACACUUGAUAAAUGAAUCAUGGCAAUUAAAGCUGUACUUGUGCUUUCCCUGUGCUAUUGUAUCAUAUGAAAAAUUUAUAAUUGGAAAUGAUCACUAAAAUGUGAAAUGAUCACUAAUUGGACAGUUUCCUUUGAUAAAGCUUCAAGGACUUCCGAAAUGUACUGGCUUUCCAUCUUUAUUGCGUUUUCAACUAUGUCCAUGUUAAGUCUAACUAUAGUGGGAACUAUGUGGGAACAUACACACAUGUGGGAGACAAGAGCCUGCAUGUGAAGUAUUUUCUAUAAGCACUUGUAGGUCCAAAGAUAUUUGUUUUUAUUGCUUAAGAUUGCUAUUGUUAGUCCAAAGAAUAUCAGUGUUUCAUCACAUGAAAAAAUUAAUGCCAAAAUUUAACUCAGACUUUGUUGCUUAUUCAGAGAAGAUACAGGGAACAAAAAAUGAUGGGAUACAUACCCAAAGCUGUACAAAACCCUGGG
Molecule: long non-coding RNA, 2285 nt
Organism: Ahaetulla prasina
Lineage: Eukaryota; Metazoa; Chordata; Lepidosauria; Squamata; Colubridae
Exons: 8
Source: RefSeq, a predicted model, not a curated record